AAGAACCCAAAAUCUCAAUAUUUUACCUAUGAAACUCGAAAAUAAGGGCUGGAAUUUCGAACAGAAACACGUGGCUUACCUCAAGAUUAGUUGUAUGGGUUUUGUAGAGCUCUCCGCGGUGAACGCGUGGCCGCAAACGGAGCGGCAAUCGGAGCUCUAGAUCAAAAGUUAUGGUGGUUUGAAGAUCAAGUGAGAGAAAGAACUUGAGAGAGUGUUCUUCCUCCCCUCUCUUCAAUUUCAGCGUGUUUGAGUGUGUUGUGAGGAGAGAGAGUGCUGAAAACUAGGGUUUUGGUUUAGUUAUGUUGGGCCAAGGGCCCACUUUGGGUCCGGUUGGCCCGGUUUGGCCCGUUCGGUCCAAUCUUGGUCCGA
This 369-nucleotide long non-coding RNA is filed under the name Arachis ipaensis. Its description in RNAcentral is "long non-coding RNA (AIPA_LNC000662)". The record is from RNAcentral. Lineage: Eukaryota; Viridiplantae; Streptophyta; Magnoliopsida; Fabales; Fabaceae.